GAACGCGCUGGGAAUACCAGGUG
Molecule: ribosomal RNA, 23 nt
Filed under: Hime japonica
Lineage: Eukaryota; Metazoa; Chordata; Actinopteri; Aulopiformes; Aulopidae
Source: RNAcentral